RNAcentral lists this long non-coding RNA (419 nucleotides) under Dasypus novemcinctus (nine-banded armadillo). Its description in RNAcentral is "lncRNA (ENSDNOG00000050653.1)". Lineage: Eukaryota; Metazoa; Chordata; Mammalia; Cingulata; Dasypodidae. The record is from RNAcentral.
GCGUAAGGGCAGCUGUGUGAGGCUAGUGUUGAGAGAGAAGAGCGCUGACUGCUAUGAAGUGCUGUGGGUUCACAUCGAACGCAGGUGGUCAUCAAGAGAUAGAAGGUGAUUUCUGAGUCUGCUCAUCUGACCUGGUUCCUGGAAGAGCAGCAGAAUGUGCUUCUAGCCCAACUGGAGGGGCUGGACCAGGGCAUCCCACAGUACCAGGAAGAGGUUGACCUCCUGGCCACUGCAGAGAUCUGCCGAUUCAGCCCCUGAUUGCAGAGCUGGAGGAGAAGAAGGAGAGACUGGCAGCGGAGCUCCUGACGAAGUGAGUCUGAAAAAAGUGAGUCUUUCAUAGCCAUAUCAGGAAACCACGGAAAAUACUUUGUUGAGGGUGAAGUGAGAUGUCCAAAGAACAGUGAGUUGAGUCUUCAAGA